CUGCAUAAUUCCUUUACUUAAUUAACCUCCGCCCGAGCUGCUAAACAAACCCGGGACCUCAAGAACCGACUGUUUAAAACGACUCAAACAUUCAAACUAUUUUAUUUAGUCCUUAACGUAUUCCAGGGUGUCAUUCCAUUAACAACCUGGAAAAUCGUAAAACUCCUCUGUCCCGCAACCUUUAGUGAGCAACCAAGACGGCGUCCAUCAAAUGUUGAGUAAAAGUACAUUUGUUAAACAAA
Molecule: long non-coding RNA, 242 nt
Organism: Silurus meridionalis
Lineage: Eukaryota; Metazoa; Chordata; Actinopteri; Siluriformes; Siluridae
Exons: 2
Source: RefSeq, a predicted model, not a curated record